CACUGCUCCUCGCAGGAAGGCGGCAGUUCACCCCGCCACCUGUCUAAACACAUUCUUUAAUACUCCUCGGUGUGCCUCUGGCAUUUUCCGGUGCUCUUCAAUCCCAUAAACAAGAGCACCAAGUCUGACUUCCUAAAACUCCAAGGAGGCGUGGCUUCGGGACCGGAAGAACGUCCGGUUGCCUAGGGAACGCUACGCGCCUAGGCGCCUGCCCAGCCACUGAUGCUCCGGCUGUGGCACAAGCUACCAAUUCACCGAACUUGUAGAAGCGGCUUUGCUCAGUAGCAGGGAUUCUUCCAAUGGAAGCAUAGAGAAGAAGGCUGAGAGACGCCCGAUUCUUAACCCAGAGACGGAUACGAGCGAGUGGCCCAUUCCUGUACCUCUUCAGCUCCUGGGCCCGCAAGACCAACCUCAAAGACCAGCUGGUUUGUAAAUAUUUGAAUCACAUUAUGGGAUUGCUAGACAGACUUUCAGGCUUGCUUGGCCUAAGGAAGAAGGAGGUUCAUGUUUUGUGCCUUGGGCUGGAUAAUAGUGGCAAAACAACAAUCAUUAACAAACUUAAACCUUCAAAUGCUCAAUCUCAAGAUAUAGUUCCAACCAUAGGAUUCAGCAUAGAGAAAUUCAAAUCGUCCAGUUUGUCUUUUACAGUGUUUGACAUGUCAGGUCAAGGAAGAUACAGAAAUCUCUGGGAGCACUAUUAUAAAGAAGGACAAGCCAUUAUUUUUGUCAUUGAUAGUAGUGAUAGAUUAAGAAUGGUUGUGGCCAAAGAAGAACUUGAUACUCUUCUGAAUCAUCCAGAUAUUAAGCACCGCCGAAUACCAAUCUUAUUCUUUGCAAACAAAAUGGAUCUUAGAGAUUCAGUAACAUCUGUAAAAGUGUCUCAACUGCUGUGUUUAGAGAACAUCAAAGAUAAACCAUGGCACAUUUGUGCUAGUGACGCCAUAAAAGGAGAAGGAUUGCAAGAAGGUGUAGACUGGCUUCAAGAUCAGAUCCAGGCUGUGAAGACCUGAAAAGAUAGUAUUUGGAAACUUCAACAAUUUUCAAUUCAAGGAAUGUAUCUUAAGGCAAACUGAAUACUUCAAAUUUUUAAAAGAUGUUUGUGCAUCUAAGAAUACUUUAUAAUCUUCCACUUGCAUUUAUGGACUCUGAAUGAGCUUUUUAAGAACAUAGGACUGCAGAAAACUAUAAAUGCUGGGCAGCAACAAAAAAAUCCAACUACCUGAAGGUUCUUGAGAAUGAACAGAAGCUGGCAUAUUUUGGAAGGGAGCUAAAACUUAGAAGGCAGCACUGCACUGGGGUGAGUUUUGAGGUGUUUUUUUGUUUUGUUUUGUUUUUGUUUUUUGUUUUUUUGUUUUUAAGUAAGCUCUAUGCCCACAGUGGGGCUUGAUCUGACAACCCCGAGAUCAAGAGUUUCAUAUUUUACCAAAUGAGCCAUCCAGGCGACUCCAUUUUGAGGCUUCAAUUCUGAGAACAGGUCACAGUCACAGCUAAAAUUCUGGGCUGCUAAACCUAUGAUAGAAAAUCUACUAUAUUUUGCCCUGAAGAAAAGAGGACAAAGAUCAUGGGACAACCAAAGCCACUGCAAAGUAAACGGAGGAACAUUUAGUAAAGGAUAGAUCCAGAGAAUAGGGGCCUAAAAUUCUAAGUAUAAACAUCCCCAAGUCUCUGGCUGAGUCCCAAACCAGGAACAAACAGCGGGCAGACUCAAAGCAGCUUACAGCUACAACUAAAACAAUGAAAUAAGAUUUGAUUUGCUGUCCACAAUCAGCAAGGGCAAGUUUGCAGUUUCAAUUUAAACAAUUUAAUGUCCCUAUAAAAUAAAAAUGACAACGCUCUCUCGAAUUACAUGAUAGAAUCCACAGUCUACAGCAUAACAUUCAAAAUCUAAGAGACAAUCCAAAUUUACUCGACAUAAUGACUCAUUUUCAAAGGAAAAGCUAAUAGAGGUCAACACAGAUGACUUAAAUGAUCAGGUAAGGACUUUAAGGCAGCUUAGUAAUUUAUCUCAGUGAGAUAAAAGAAAAAAAUUCUUAUAAUAAAUGGAAAUUUUCAACAGAAAAGUAGAAAAUAUAAAAGAAAACUAAAAGAAAUUCUAGAACUAAAAAAUAUAUCGGACACUAAGAAACCACUGCAUAGACUAACAGUAGAAUGAAAAUGACAGAAGAAAUAAUCAGCAAACUUGAAGAUAUAGAUCAAAAGAAAUUUUCCCAUGUGGAGAAGACAGAGAAAUAUGGAAAAAACAAAACAAAACAGAACCUCAGGAUUCCGUGGCAUCAUAUGAAAAGUUAUAUGUGUGUAUAUGUGUAGUUGGGAGUCCCACAGGGAAAGGAAAGAAAGAAUGGGGCAAAAUAAAUUUUUAAAGAAAUAAGGGCUAAAAAUUUCCCAAACUGAAUUAAACACAUAAUUUAUAGAUUCAAAAAGCUCAGCAAAUGCCCAACAGAGUUAAUACAAAACAAAACAAACAAAACCCCUAGGUACAUCAUAGCAAAUGGUUGAAAACCAAAGAAAAUUUCAGAAAUAUCCAGGGUCAAGUGGAGGGAAUCCACCUUAUAUACUGAGUGAUAUAAACUACUGUGGAUUUCUUACCAGAAAUGAUCUAAGCUAGAAGACAGUAGUACAAUAUCUUUAAAGUGUUGAAAAAAAAAGUUGAUCCAGAA
RNA transcript from Panthera uncia (snow leopard), 2657 nucleotides. It is a transcript of the gene named ADP ribosylation factor like GTPase 6, with no coding region annotated. The transcript has 9 exons. Lineage: Eukaryota; Metazoa; Chordata; Mammalia; Carnivora; Felidae. The record is from RefSeq and is a predicted model, not a curated record.